GGUCGCUUAGCUCAGCUGGUAGAGCGUGCGGUUUACAUCCGCAAGGUCGGGGGUUCGAGACCCUCAGCGACCA
RNAcentral lists this transfer RNA (73 nucleotides) under Candidatus Woesebacteria bacterium. RNAcentral describes it as "tRNA-Val". It matches the Rfam family "tRNA". Rfam says of the family: Transfer RNA (tRNA) molecules are approximately 80 nucleotides in length. Their secondary structure includes four short double-helical elements and three loops (D, anti-codon, and T loops). Further hydrogen bonds mediate the characteristic L-shaped molecular structure. tRNAs have two regions of fundamental functional importance: the anti-codon, which is responsible for specific mRNA codon recognition, and the 3' end, to which the tRNAs corresponding amino acid is attached (by aminoacyl-tRNA synthetases). tRNAs cope with the degeneracy of the genetic code in two manners: having more than one tRNA (with a specific anti-codon) for a particular amino acid; and 'wobble' base-pairing, i.e. permitting non-standard base-pairing at the 3rd anti-codon position. The record is from RNAcentral. Lineage: Bacteria; Candidatus Woeseibacteriota.